AUUGAACGCUGGCGGCAUGCCUUACACAUGCAAGUCGAACGGCAGCGCGGGAGCAAUCCUGGCGGCGAGUGGCGAACGGGUGAGUAAUACAUCGGAACGUGCCCAAUCGUGGGGGAUAACGCAGCGAAAGCUGUGCUAAUACCGCAUACGAUCUACGGAUGAAAGCAGGGGACCGCAAGGCCUUGCGCGAAUGGAGCGGCCGAUGGCAGAUUAGGUAGUUGGUGAGGUAAAGGCUCACCAAGCCUUCGAUCUGUAGCUGGUCUGAGAGGACGACCAGCCACACUGGGACUGAGACACGGCCCAGACUCCUACGGGAGGCAGCAGUGGGGAAUUUUGGACAAUGGGCGCAAGCCUGAUCCAGCCAUGCCGCGUGCAGGAUGAAGGCCUUCGGGUUGUAAACUGCUUUUGUACGGAACGAAACGGCUCUUUCUAAUAAAGAGGGCUAAUGACGGUACCGUAAGAAUAAGCACCGGCUAACUACGUGCCAGCAGCCGCGGUAAUACGUAGGGUGCAAGCGUUAAUCGGAAUUACUGGGCGUAAAGCGUGCGCAGGCGGUGAUGUAAGACAGUUGUGAAAUCCCCGGGCUCAACCUGGGAACUGCAUCUGUGACUGCAUCGCUGGAGUGCGGCAGAGGGGGAUGG
RNAcentral lists this ribosomal RNA (641 nucleotides) under uncultured Comamonadaceae bacterium. RNAcentral describes it as "bacterial SSU rRNA". It matches the Rfam family "Bacterial small subunit ribosomal RNA", at positions 28 to 664 of the family's 1533-position model. Lineage: Bacteria; Pseudomonadati; Pseudomonadota; Betaproteobacteria; Burkholderiales; Comamonadaceae. The record is from RNAcentral.